AACGAACGCUGGCGGCGUGCCUAAUACAUGCAAGUCGCGCGAGAAAAGGGGGGCAACUCCCUGAGUAAAGCGGCGCACGGGUGAGUAAUGCGUAGGUAAUCUACCCUUGAGUCCAGGAUAACCUACCGAAAGGUGGGCUAAUACCGGAUAUGACCACGGGGAUCUCGGUCCCUGAGGUGAAAGGUGGCCUCUGUUUACAUGCUACCGCUCAUCGAUGAGCCUGCGCGCCAUUAGCUAGUUGGCGGGGUAACGGCCCACCAAGGCGAUGAUGGCUAGCUGGUCUGAGAGGAUGACCAGCCACACUGGGACUGAAACACGGCCCAGACUCCUACGGGUGGCUG
Molecule: ribosomal RNA, 341 nt
Filed under: uncultured Pseudomonadota bacterium
Lineage: Bacteria; Pseudomonadati; Pseudomonadota
Description: bacterial SSU rRNA
Rfam family: Bacterial small subunit ribosomal RNA
Source: RNAcentral